CCCCUCCCCCUCCGUUUUCUUUCUUCCUCUUCAUGUGAGCCCCUGUCCUGCCACUGAUCGUCGACCUCGUAGCGUCGCUGUCCAUCGCCGCCUGGACCCAUUGGAUCUGAAGCCGAACACUAGCUGUCAGUUCUUCGUGUCGGUGUGAGUGCCUCCAGCCGCCAAUUGCUCGCUUGCCCUCACAUCGUACUUCUCUCCCAGCCGCACCACAUGUCUGCUGUUCCGUCGUCGUCGAUUGAAGCCAACCUUCACACGCCAUCCCUCACCUCGACUUCUUUGCGCGUCAUUCCAGCAAUCUAUAGCUGUCCGCCUAGCCCAUGUCUCGCCUCACCACCAGCUCUAUAGUCCCUCGCAGGCGUCUUCCGACCAACCGUUAGGUCUCGCACACCUUACCGAAAUUUGGAUCUUGGAUCGAGGUUUUAAGGUGUCAAGAACCACUAUCCAACAACAUAAGGUCCAGAAUGAUGACUUUUGAUUAAUUUGAUAUUUCAAGGAGGUUUGGAAUCGUCGUCCAACAAUAUCAAAAGGGUUUUGUCACGCUUUGUUUGGGGCAUUUGUUGGGAGGUUGGGAGCAAUUUUGAAACGAGCUAUACUUUGGGUAAAGAAUAUUUGAAUUUGUUUGGAUUUAUUUUGGCAAUAUUUGUAUAGCUUUGUUUGAAAUUAGGCCCCUAAUGUGGAAAUUGAAAUGGGUUAACGUUUAGAGAUUGGUUCAAGAAUUCUACUCAAGAUAAAGAGAAGACUUUGAAUUGUUAAUUUCCUUGGACUUAAAUUUGAGGUAAGUAACUAUAUUACUGGAAUUGCCUUGGGCCAGGUAAUAUUAAGCAUGUUGUAUUGAGGUUAUUUAUUAGAUUGAUUGUUAUGUAUGAUUUCCUUGAGUGAGUUGCAUGAACUAGAUACGCAUGAAAGAGGAUUGAAUGCUAGCAUGAUUUAAGUACAUUUUAUUCUUGGAGAUUCUGCUGAAUCUGAGGAUGAUGAGAUAUAUAUGUGUGUUAUGGAACUAUGAUGAUGAGAUGUAUAUGUAUGUUAUGGGACUAUGAUGAUGAGAUGUAUAUGUAUGUUAUGGAACUAUGAUAAUGAGAUGUAUAUGUAUGAUAUAGAACCAUAUUAUGAUACUUGUGAUGUUGAAAUCGUGAUAGUAUCCUCACUGUUAGUUAGAUACCCACUAGAGGUUGUGUGUCCUUUAGGAUUCACUAAAGGUGGUGGUUUCCUUCGGGAUCCAACAGAGGUUGUGUUUCCUUCGGAACUCACUAGAGGUAGUGCUUUCCUUCGAGAUUCACCAGAGG
Benincasa hispida (wax gourd) is the source of this 1283-nucleotide long non-coding RNA. RefSeq lists it as uncharacterized. NCBI's taxonomy places the organism in Eukaryota, Viridiplantae, Streptophyta, Magnoliopsida, Cucurbitales, Cucurbitaceae. The record is from RefSeq and is a predicted model, not a curated record.